Molecule: long non-coding RNA, 253 nt
Organism: Fukomys damarensis (Damara mole-rat)
Lineage: Eukaryota; Metazoa; Chordata; Mammalia; Rodentia; Bathyergidae
Exons: 3
Source: RefSeq, a predicted model, not a curated record
UUCCACUCAUCUGAGCACACCCAGGAAGUCCAAUUAAGAAAACAUCAUUGGAAAUUUUAGCCUUCAUACAUGUUUGGAUGGUCUGAGUUGAAAUUCUGAAACACUUUAAUAUCCAAAGAACUGCUCAUGUGACCAUCACUAUGAAUCAUUUCAGGGCAAGUGGAGACACAAAGAACAUGGGGAUUUUCUAAGACAGCACAUCUGAUAAAUGGUACUGCGUGAAUUUCAAAUACAGACACAAACUGCUUCACCA